UUAGAUGGAAGAUUUCUUUUAUAUUCCUUUAUAGGAAUAUAAUGAAUUUACAAGUCUACAAUGAAUUUACAAGUCUACGAUGAAUUUGAACAGAGAAAGCAUCUUUUGGGACACUUUGCACUGGUGAAAAUGGUUCCAUUUUGUGGAGCUUUGUGCCAUCAAGAUAGAAAAUAUGCCAGUCUCCUCUGCUUGGCUCAGCAACUGCAAUAGAGAAGGAGGAAGCUGCGUCAACUGUGUGACGACUUAAUUUGCUUUGAGCUGAUAAUAGCCAUGAGAGAUGCCAACGAUUGAUGGCAAUUUCCACGUCAUUGUGAGUCACAGAGAUUCACCUAGAAAACCACACGUAUAAAUGUCUUCUAGGGGAUAAUGCCCCUUUGCUCAGUUCAUGGGGAUGUAGGGUACAGAGACCUCAUUGCAGCUGACCUCCAAAUCUGUGAAACAUAGGAGCAUAGCCGUACAGAUGAAGGACAUGAUAUCUUUUUCUACAUAUUGUAUUUACAGAAGACUCAGCAAAAGCAUACCUGGAUGAUUGACACUCAGACACUCCUGUACUUGCCUAACUGGCUAUCUUCUGGUCUCUGGAUUCCAUAACAACUCCUGUAAAGCUUUGGGACUGGGUAAAGUCAGAAAACCUACAGUUACACCAGCAGGUCCUCUUAGCCUGAUACAUUUUUCAGAAAUUCUAGAUGCUGCCUACUUCUCUAGGCUCCUGUCCCCAUAGUUAUAUGAAGCCAGGGCAGAGCUUGGUGUUUUUGAACCAGCCUAAAACCACACUUCAACAGUGAUCUGGAGACCUUCACAUAAACCUACAUCCUCCAAAAUGGACUAAGUUUUCUGAGCCAGUCUUGGCUAGCUUAAGCAGCAGUACAAGAACUCUCUGGAAACAAAACAAAACAAAUAAGCUACUUUGCCAGCUAAUUAGCUCUCUGAUUGUUGAUAAGGAGUUUUAUGUUUCCAUGUCUUCCUCCUCUCCAACAUGCUAAAUUGGCCUGGUAUUAGUUUAGUCAUAUUAUGGUAAAAACAAAAACAAAAACAAAGAAACAAACAAACAAAAAACCCACCAUGUGUCUUAGCCUAUCUGUGUAAAUAUAUUCUUUCAGCUUGAGUCUAUGAAAUAUUUUUAUUUAGCUCCCUCUAUUGCUAAGCACUGUGUGAAGUGCUAGGAGUUAUACAAAGAGGCAGAAGAUUCAAUCCUGAGUUUCAGGUUUAUAAUUCAGUUGAUAAGACCAAACUAAUUGAAGUUGAAAGAGCAAUGGAUUGCUAAAUUAUCUGGUAGUGAAUUUAUCAUGACCAAGUAUACAGAAAAUGAAAAGAUGUAUGAGAGCUGAGUUCAGGAAGUUUCAACAAAUAAAAUAACGUGGGAGCUGUUUAUUGAAGGAGGGUCUCAACAGGCAGACUGGUAGAGGGGCUGCCCUCCAGAAGGCAGUCAGCGUACCCUAGGUUUGAUAAAGCCAGGGCUACCUUCCACGUUUCUGUACAGGGGUAGCACCCAAAAAGUCAAAAGGCCUGGCUUCACAUAGAUUUUUCACGACAGCAAAGGUCAUGUGAAGUUCCACUAAGGAUAUUAUAGUGUCAUAGAGUCUGAGUCUGAGGUAAACCUAGAUAUCAUCCUCUAACUCUUUCAGAUGACAGUGAAGAGUGUUGAGCUAUAUUAGAAGUACCAUCUCCUCUGCUUUGCCGUAGACUCUGAUCAUGCUAGAUGUCCUUCUAAGCCUUCUUGGUUGUAGACGUCCUGCAGUUUGCAUCCUUACACUUGGAGUGCUUUGGAGUCCUGCCAAGGUGUGACUGGACUCUUGGGACUGGGAGCAUUUUCCGUGCCAAUGACACUGAGGAGAGAGUGGAGACCACAGGGCUUCCAGGGAGUCAACAAACUUUCCUGGCAUAUUUAUUAUUGAGUGGACUUGGAGAGUGAUUUCUUUUCUGAGGAGCCCCCAAUCCGCCCCCUCCUCCGAAAGUUGGAGUCAUUUCAGUGAGUAAUGGCUUCAAGUAAGGUAAUACUUUACCCUGGAGGAGUCAAGAAAUUCAUGGGGUUUGAUGAUAUGGAACCUGGACUAAAAGGCUGGUUUCUAUUUAUACUGAAUAAGCCAGAUUUGGGGAAAUACAUUAAGGUUGCGGUGCCAUAGGGUAGUGAAUGGUCCAUGGUCCAUCACCCUGGGAAGAGGUGAAUCUUGAAACUACAAGCAAGAACUCAGGAUUGUGGGCUUUAGAUUGUUAGGUUUGGGGAGGUACUGGGGAUUUUCUUAUUUCCCUGAAAUCUCAUGGGAUCCAAGUAAAGCAGACAUGCCAGAGGGCACACCUGUGGAAGGGUGGCUGGCUGUUUCUUUUCUAGAUGACAACAGACUGGGAGGAAGGCAGAGAAGUAUCAUUUAGGGACUCCCAAAGGAAUAUCAUCCCGGCUUUGGGCCUGAGGGCUCCGAACACACCCAUAUAUAACAUAGUUGACUGUGUAUAAAUAGUCCCUUCGAUGCCUGGGUGGCUCAGCAGUUGGGCAUCUGCCUUCGGCCUAGGGAGUGAUCCUGGAGUUUUGGGAUCGAGUCCCACAUCGGGCUCCCUGCAUGAAGUCUGCUUCUCUCUCUGCCUAUGUCUCUGCCUGUGUCUCUCAUGAAUAAAUAAAUAAGAUCUUUAAAAAAAAUAGUCCCUUUUAUGGUCCAUAAACUUUCAAUAAGACCUGAUUAGACAUUACUCCUUGGUUUCUUCUUUGCUAGAAGGAGAAAGUAGUUCCCCUUCAGAGGCCACAGGGCUGGUGAUAUUUGUGGUCCUCAGCUGUUAUGAAUUGAAGGUCUGCGCUGAUACGAUGAGUAAAUGCACAAUGAAGACUAUGAGGUAACCAAACCUGAGCAAUUGUGGAAGAGAACCAUUGUCUCCUCUCAGAAAGGGCCCAAAACACUUUGAAAUUGAUUAAUUUAUGGUAAGCAAGUUGGUAGGGCUCAAGCUACCAUUUUGGGAACCUUAAAAGGAAAUCUGAUCCUACUUAACCUCAAAGAAGAUUUGGUCUCUUCUAGGUGGUCUAGGAGAGUAUGCCAUAGCAUAGAAAUUUUCUUGUAUGCCUGAUUGCAGAUUAAUUCCUAAAUUUCCCUUUUGAAUGGAAGUCUGAAAGAACAUAACAAGAAUGCUGGGUAAUCUGUCAACCUCUGGCUUUUUCUUAAAAUUUUAUUUAUUUAUUCAUAAGAGACAGAGAGACAGAGAGAGAGAGGCAGAGACAACAGGCAGAGGGAGAAGUAGGCUCCAUGCAGGAAGCCCAACGUGAGACUCGAUCAUGAGACUCCAGGAUCACGCCCCAGGCCAAAGGCAGCACUAAACCGCUGAGCCACCCGGGCUGCCCUGGCUUCUUAUUAUAUAGUUGAUUCAGUAUUUGAGUUUGUCACAUUUAUAUACCUCUUUAUAAUUGACAAAGCACUUUCACAUAUAUUACGUUGUUUGUGCCUCACAGCAACACUGAUGGUUAUGCAGAACAGUGACUAUUAAUUCUAUUUAAUACCUGAGGACACGAAGAGAUGAAAUGAUAUAACCACAAAUGAGUGCAAGAGAGUUUAAAUUUAUGGAACAGAUAUUAAGUCAUUGCAAAGGAGAAAAUAGCAACUUAACUGUGAAGACAUUUGGUAGAUAUCACUUUGACCAAGUGACCAAGGUUAACAUCACCAGUAAUAAGACAAGAUUCUCACCCAAAAUGGUAACCUGAAUCAUGACUAGAUAUCAGACACACUCAAAUUGAGGGUCAUUCUACCAGAUUAGCCAAUGCUAUUCAAAAGUGUCAAGAUCAUAAAAGGCAAAGAAAGACUGAAGACCUGUUCCAGAUUGUAGGAGACUGAAGAACCGUGGUAACUAAAGUUAUUUGGAAACUUGGAUCUUGGACCUGAAAAAGAACAUUAGUGGGACAAUUGGUGAAAUUUAAAUAAGAUCUGUAGAUUACUUAACAGUUUUGUUGUCCGUAUUCAUUUCCUGAUUUUGCUAAUAGUACUGUGGUUAUGUAAGGUGUUAACAUUUGUGAAAGUUGUGAGAAAGGUACACAGGAACUUUGUACGGUUUUUCCACUUUUUUAUGAGUCUGAACUUGUUUCAAAAUCAAAGUUAAAGUAAAUUAAUAAAUAUGUUUUCUCCUGAAACCAAACCGAUUUUUUAAAAGAUUUUAUUAAUUUAUUCAUGAGAGAAAAAAGGGAGGCAGACACAAAGGCAGAGGGAGCAGCAGGCUCCCCAAGGGGGAGGACCCUACAGAUCACAGCACAAGCCGAAGGCAGACACUUAACCUCUGAGCCACCAAGGACUCUCAGCCAAACCAAUUUUUAUCUUCAGUGACAAUUUACAUAAACUUCAAAAUCAACUGGAAAUUGAAUAAAUGGAGUAUUUUUUCAAAUUUUUAUUUAAGUGCUAGUUAACAUACAGAGUAAUAUUGGUUUCAGGAGUAGAAUUUAGUGAUUCAUCAGUUACAUUAAAUGGAGCGUUUUUGCAUUAUUCAAACCAAUGGAUGAUGCUCCUAGGGGACCCUUCUAUGUUCUACUGUAGAAUUUUGGAAAUAUACAGAACAUGGUGGUAAAGACUACAGUCUUGGAUUUGGAUAGAUGAACCCCAGUCUUGCCAUUUACUAUGUAUGUGAACAUCCAUUUUCCUACCUAUAAAGUAGAGAUAAGUAAUGAUAUCAUAGGAUUGCUGGGGGAUUAAAUGAGUCAAUGCAUGGUAAAUUCUCCCCAGAGUGUUAGGUUCAGGUUCCAGCUUUUGCAUUAUGAUUGAACUUAAAUAAAAGGAUGAGAAAAGAUAUCUUCCUGAGUCAGUAACCACUUUGUGUCAGAAUGGCUCCUUUGGUUGUGAUUUCACCAACUUAAAUGGACAUACUUACUCAAAAGCUGUGUAAAGCAUGCUCACUGCUAAUAAAAAAAAGAGAGAGAGAGAGAGAGAAAGGAUGUUAUUUACACAAAUUGCCCAGGGAUAUUUUGAAAACACUAAGCGAACUGCUAAAAGCUUGCCAUGGAAAAGAUCACAGCUGUUACCAGCACAUUUCCACCGUAUCAGUAGUCAGUCGGGUACCGUCCUGGGAAGAGAGAGUGGAAAAUGGAAACUCUGCCCAAAGUUCUGCGCCCGUGGAGAGCCAGGAAGAAACCAUGACUGCUCCCGGAGUCCAGCAAAACCUGCCCUGAGUGGGCGGACAAGGCUUUAAACAACUUGGAAAGGCUCUUCAAAGAACAAUUAAAAACAACCUCCCGUGGUGGGAGGUGAAUCUGGCUGGGAAACUCCUGCUUUCUUUCCCCAGGGUAGAAUUCCCAGGCUUCUGGAUCCUGGUGGAGCGCCCUUGGCAGUGGAC
Nyctereutes procyonoides (raccoon dog) is the source of this 5292-nucleotide long non-coding RNA. RefSeq lists it as uncharacterized. The transcript is spliced from 3 exons. The record is from RefSeq and is a predicted model, not a curated record. NCBI's taxonomy places the organism in Eukaryota, Metazoa, Chordata, Mammalia, Carnivora, Canidae.